RNAcentral lists this ribosomal RNA (462 nucleotides) under uncultured bacterium. RNAcentral describes it as "partial 16S ribosomal RNA". It matches the Rfam family "Bacterial small subunit ribosomal RNA", at positions 29 to 507 of the family's 1533-position model. The record is from RNAcentral.
AGUGAACGCUGGCGGCGUGCCUAAUACAUGCAAGUCGAACGAACGAAUAAGAGCUUGCUCUUAUAAGUUAGUGGCGCACGGGUGAGUAAUAUAUAGCUAAUCUGCCUCUUAGUAGAGGAUAACAGUCGGAAACGAUUGCUAAUACUCUAUACUUCUGCUUUACAUAAGUAAAGUAGAGAAAGUUUUUCGCUAAGAGAUGAGGCUAUACUGUAUCAGCUAGUUGGUAAGGUAACGGCUUACCAAGGCUAUGACGCAUAACUGGUCUGAGAGGAUGAUCAGUCACAUUGGAACUGAGACACGGUCCAAACUCCUACGGGAGGCAGCAGUAGGGAAUAUUGCGCAAUGGGGGAAACCCUGACGCAGCAACGCCGCGUGGAGGAUGACACCUUUCGGAGCGUAAACUCCUUUUAUCGGGAAAGAAUAAUGACGGUACCCGAUGAAUAAGCACCGGCUAACUCCGUG